GAUGAACGCUGGCGGCGUGCCUAAUACAUGCAAGUCGAGCGAACAGACGAGGAGCUUGCUCCUCUGACGUUAGCGGCGGACGGGUGAGUAACACGUGGAUAACCUACCUAUAAGACUGGGAUAACUUCGGGAAACCGGAGCUAAUACCGGAUAAUAUAUUGAACCGCAUGGUUCAAUAGUGAAAGACGGUUUUGCUGUCACUUAUAGAUGGAUCCGCGCCGCAUUAGCUAGUUGGUAAGGUAACGGCUUACCAAGGCGACGAUGCGUAGCCGACCUGAGAGGGUGAUCGGCCACACUGGAACUGAGACACGGUCCAGACUCCUACGGGAGGCAGCAGUAGGGAAUCUUCCGCAAUGGGCGAAAGCCUGACGGAGCAACGCCGCGUGAGUGAUGAAGGUCUUCGGAUCGUAAAACUCUGUUAUUAGGGAAGAACAAAUGUGUAAGUAACUAUGCACGUCUUGACGGCACCUAAUCAGAAAGCCACGGCUAACUACGUG
RNAcentral lists this ribosomal RNA (497 nucleotides) under uncultured bacterium. Its description in RNAcentral is "partial 16S ribosomal RNA". It matches the Rfam family "Bacterial small subunit ribosomal RNA", at positions 28 to 507 of the family's 1533-position model. The record is from RNAcentral.